GGGAUCUGAACCUGAGACCUUGGACUGCAGAGACCCUUCCCACUGUAAUGACCACCCUGACUCCAGACUCUAGCAAAAGGACGUGACAGCAAGCCAUGGAGGCAGCCUUAUAUUCUCUCUUCUCUGAGCCUCCAGGUCACCCUGCCAAGGUUCUCUGAGGGGGAGCCCAUUGUUUUUCUGAGUAUUUUUAGGUUGGCCCAGUGACAAGGCAUUGAUGUGAGGUCAUCUGUGGUGGAGGAGAGAUGAAAGUGAAGGAAUUCAGAGCCUAAAACCCGCUGAAAUUCAGGCCUUUCCCUUCUGGAGGGCAGCAGGAGCCAUCAUGGGAGCAGACAGCCCAGGAGAGCCAUUCCAGCCCACUCAGAGUUUCAUCAGAAUCUGCUCCCAGGAGAAGCUCCUGCCAGCCGCUCUUUCCCAUCCUCCAGAAAAGCCCCCUCCAGCUCCUGAGGCCCACAGUUCUCUGGCAGCAGGCAGGCCCAGGCAGGAGGACUAUGCUAUUUCUUGUGCCAUGGGAGGAGAUAAGGAACCCAAGACCCAGGAGGGUUAAGAAAUUUGCUGAAAGUAAUAAUGGCAUCCAGAGUGAAAUGAACAGAACUAAGAGAACUGCUGUAUGCAGUAACAGCAAUAUUGUUAGAAGACUAAUUGAAUGACUAAGCUAUUCUGAAUAAUAUGAAUAUUCAAAUCAACUAUGAAGGACUUAUGAAGGAAAAUGUUAUCCUCCUACAGAGAAAGAACUGAUAUAUGGGAGUAGGUAUUCUACGACUCCAUAGAUUUAUCACUAUCAAAUAUUGGCCUUCUCUAAUGCAGGGCUGGGAGGGAAGAAGGGAGACAAUUCAGAACACAAAAUGUAACAAAUAUAUGUGUGUGUGUGUGUAUGUGUGUGUGUGUGUGUGUAUCUUUUAAAAAGGGAAAUUCAAACAAACAAACAAACGAGGGCUGGCUCAGUGGAUAGAUACUAUGCCUGGAAUCAGGAAGAGUCAACUUUCUUAGUUCCAAUCUGGCCUCAGACAUUUUCUAGAUCUGUAGCCCUGGGCAAGUCAUUUAAGUUUGUUUCCUCAUCUAUUUUAAGGUAGAAAAGGGAUAGAAAACCAGACCAUUAACGAAAGAAAGAAAGAAAGAAAGAAAGAAAGAAAGAAAGAAAGAAAGAAAGAAAGAAAGAAAGAAAGAAGAAGAAAGAACAAAGAAAGAAAGAAAGAAAGAAAGAAAGAAGAAAGAAGAAGAAGAAGGAAGGAAAGAAAGAAAGAAAGAAAGAAAGGAAGAAGGAAGAAGAAGGAAGAAGAAAAGAGAGAGAGAAGAGAGAGAGGGAGAGAAAAGAGAUAGAGAAAGAGAGA
Molecule: long non-coding RNA, 1328 nt
Filed under: Monodelphis domestica (gray short-tailed opossum)
Lineage: Eukaryota; Metazoa; Chordata; Mammalia; Didelphimorphia; Didelphidae
Description: lncRNA (ENSMODG00000030721.2)
Source: RNAcentral